Pristis pectinata (smalltooth sawfish) is the source of this 891-nucleotide long non-coding RNA. RefSeq lists it as uncharacterized. The transcript is spliced from 3 exons. Lineage: Eukaryota; Metazoa; Chordata; Chondrichthyes; Rhinopristiformes; Pristidae. The record is from RefSeq and is a predicted model, not a curated record.
GGCCUGUUUCUGUGCUGUAGUGCUCUAUGACUCUGUGACCCUAAAAGCAAACAAGCCAACGGAAGCAAUGACAGAGGGGUGCGGUAGGGUGAUGGUGACAGGUGUCUGAACUAACCAUGGGACCUACAUGAAGAAAUGGAGGAUGAUGACUGCUCUGAGAAAACAUCUGUUUACGAAAUGGAACAAAGCUGCAGGACCACAAGAAAAAGAUGGGAAUGCCACUGGAAUUACCAUUGAAGCUGGCACAAGAGUGGCAACAGCAGGAACCAUGAAAACACAGAUCUGUAGGGGUUCGCUGAAGGAGGAAAAGCCCAAGUAGGUAUGUGUUUCGCAACAGGAUGUUGUACUUCCACUUGUCAGAGGAACAGUGUGCACAGAAGGCACAGACUCAUGUCACUGUUGCAGCAAGAAUUGAAACGGAACAACACCCUGGGAUCUGCUUGUGGUCGUGAAAGUUAUGUUGGCCUUUGAGUUCUGUCUCACAGACACACCAACUUGUCAUAAACUGUGGUUUUCUGGCCAUGUGGCGAUUAAGCAGAUUAAAGAUGCUCUUUUUGUAAUUAGAUAACAACAUAUCAGUUUUGUGACUGAUGAUCAGGGGACUGGAUUUGUCUGCAGUGCAUUCUUGGGAUAAAGCUGGGAUCUUACAUAUCCUGGUCCCACCCAAACCUAUGGCUCUGGCUGAACAUAAACCACAGAUUUUGAACUCCUGAUCUUCAGCCCCAGUCCCUUCAAAUCUUCUCUCACUACAAAUUCGUUUACUGCUUAUAGUCUUGUUAAACAUUGGAUGUGGGAAAUAAAUUAGAAUUUACGUUUCAGAUCUUUGUUUUUUUGUUUGCUCUUCUGGCAUUUGUGAAGCCAGCUGUAGCGUCUGUGGGUUUUAUCUGAGUU